Molecule: ribosomal RNA, 245 nt
Filed under: uncultured bacterium
Lineage: Bacteria
Description: partial 16S ribosomal RNA
Rfam family: Bacterial small subunit ribosomal RNA
Source: RNAcentral
UACGGAGGGUGCAAGCGUUAUUCGGAUUUAUUGGGCGUAAAGGGCGCGCAGGCGGCUUUUUAAGUCAGAUGUGAAAUCCCCCGGCUUAACCGGGGAAGUGCAUUUGAAACUGGGGAGCUUGAGUAUGGGAGAGGAAAUCGGAAUUCCUGGUGUAGCGGUGAAAUGCGUAGAUAUCAGGAGGAACACCGGUGGCGAAAGCGGAUUUCCGGACCAAUACUGACGCUGAGGCGCGAAGGUGCGGGGAG